This 505-nucleotide ribosomal RNA is filed under the name uncultured bacterium. Its description in RNAcentral is "partial 16S ribosomal RNA". It matches the Rfam family "Bacterial small subunit ribosomal RNA", at positions 28 to 507 of the family's 1533-position model. The record is from RNAcentral.
GACGAACGCUGGCGGCGUGCCUAAUACAUGCAAGUAGAACGCACAGUUUAUACCGUAGCUUGCUACACCAUAGACUGUGAGUUGCGAACGGGUGAGUAACGCGUAGGUAACCUGCCUGGUAGCGGGGGAUAACUAUUGGAAACGAUAGCUAAUACCGCAUAAUAUUGAUUAUUGCAUGAUAAUUGAUUGAAAGAUGCUAUUGCAUCACUACCAGAUGGACUUGCGUUGUAUUAGCUAGUAGGUGAGGUAACGGAUCACCUAGGCGACGAUACAUAGCCGACCUGAGAGGGUGAUCGGCCACACUGGGACUGAGACACGGCCCAGACGCCUACGGGAGGCAGCAGUAGGGAAUCUUCGACAAUGGACGAAAGGCUGACCGAGAAACGCCGCGGGAGUGAAGAAGGGUUUCGGAUCGUAAAGCUCUGUUGUGAGAGAAGAACGGGUGUGAGAGUGGAAAGUUCACACUGUGACGGUAUCUUACCAGAAAGGGACGGCUAACUACGUG